AUUACAACAAUGAAAAUGUAUAUAUAGUGUAUGAUGACAUUCAUUCAUUCAUUCUAUGUUUGGCGUGAUUACAUGUGAUCACAAGGAAGAUGAUUCUCCUAGGAUUUUAAUUUUUUCAUUCAUUCAAAAAAAAAAAAAUUUAAAUUUAAUUUAAUUUUCAAUAAUAAUGAAAUUGGAAUUUUCCAAUGGUAUCCAAGCAACAAAUGAUUUGUUGAUGAUCACAUGAUGAUGUGCAAUACAUACAUUCGAAAUUUGAUUCGCAAAUACCUGACAAUUAACGAUGCAUGGCCAUAUGAUGAUGAUGAUGAUGAUGAAAACAAAAUCAUUCAAAUAGAUUCAGAUCGGAUCGGAUCCAAAUCAAAUUGAAUGAAUGAAAUAAGCAAAUAGAAAAAAAAUUGGCAAAUUGACAUCGAUGUCAAUCCAGUCAAGAUGAUUGUCAUUACAGUAGUAAUCAUUUGUUUUUUGUUCGGAUCAAUGUAUGCAUUUGGUGUGGCCGGCCUCUCGUCAAUUGGAUUUUUCAUUUUCAUUUCUUUUCUUUUUUCUCUCGGUAAUGUUUCACCUUUUUUCCUUAUCGUUCACCAUUUUCAAAUGAUCAUCAUAUCACUAAGGUAAGAAAACGAAUAUUUUGGCUUAUUAAACGAUUCAACAAUUCUGGGGAUCAUUUAUUCAAUGAUUCAUAUAUCGAUCAAAAUAAAUGAAUUCGGCAAUGAUAAUGAAUGGCAACAAACAAAA
Non-coding RNA from Dermatophagoides farinae (American house dust mite), 732 nucleotides. Lineage: Eukaryota; Metazoa; Arthropoda; Arachnida; Sarcoptiformes; Pyroglyphidae. The record is from RefSeq and is a predicted model, not a curated record.